GUACUACUCCCUCUGUUCCGAAUUACUUGUCUUGGAUUUGUCUAGAUAUGGAUGUAUCUAGACUCAUUUUAGUGCUAGAUAAAGACAACUCUAAGACAAGUAAUUCGGAACAGAGGGAGUAGUAA
Non-coding RNA from Triticum urartu, 125 nucleotides. NCBI's taxonomy places the organism in Eukaryota, Viridiplantae, Streptophyta, Magnoliopsida, Poales, Poaceae. The record is from Rfam.